Molecule: ribosomal RNA, 376 nt
Filed under: uncultured organism
Description: partial 16S ribosomal RNA
Rfam family: Bacterial small subunit ribosomal RNA
Source: RNAcentral
GUAGGUGGCAAGCGUUGUCCGGGAAUUAUUGGGGCGUAAAGCGCGCGCAGGCGGUUCUUUAAGUCUGAUGUGAAAGCCCACGGGCUCAACCGUGGAGGGUCAUUGGAAACUGUAGAACUUGAGUACAGAAGAGGAAAGCGGAAUUCCACGUGUAGCGGUGAAAUGCGUAGAGAUGUGGAGGAACACCAGUGGCGAAGGCGGCUUUCUGGUCUGUAACUGACGCUGAGGCGCGAAAGCGUGGGGAGCAAACAGGAUUAGAUACCCUGGUAGUCCACGCCGUAAACGAUGAGUGCUAAGUGUUAGGGGGUUUCCGCCCCUUAGUGCUGCAGCUAACGCAUUAAGCACUCCGCCUGGGGAGUACGGCCGCAAAGGCUGA